GAUGAACGCUGGCGGCGUGCCUAAUACAUGCAAGUCGAGCGAACGGACGAUAAGCUUGCUUCUCUUUUUUUAGCGUCGCACGUGUGUGUAACACGUGUAUAACCUACCUUUAUUUCUGGGAUAACUUCGGGAAACCGGUGCUAAUACCGGCUAAUCUUUUGAACCGCAUGGUUCUAAAUUGAAAGACGGUCUUUCUGUCUCUUAUAGAUGUUUCCGCGCUGCAUUAGCUAGUUGGUAAGGUAACGGCUUACCAAGGCAACUAUGCAUAGCCGACCUGAGAGGGUGAUCGGCCACACGGGAACUGAGACACGGACCAGACUCCUACGGGAGGCAGCAGUAGGGAAUAGGACGCAAUGGGCGAAAGCAUGACGGAGCAACGGCGAGUGAGAGAUGAAGGUCUGAGGAUCGUAAAAAUCUGUUAUUAGGGAAGAACAUAUGUGUAAGGAAAUGUGCACAUAUUGACGGUAACUAAUCAGAAAGCAACGGCUAACUACGUG
Molecule: ribosomal RNA, 497 nt
Filed under: uncultured bacterium
Lineage: Bacteria
Description: partial 16S ribosomal RNA
Rfam family: Bacterial small subunit ribosomal RNA
Source: RNAcentral